UCAAUUCAUUGUCAGUCGCCCACAAUUUCUUCACUUAUUCAAUACAAUUUCAUUUCAUGAUUAAAACCUUUCAACUUUCUUUAAUCGAAAUAACCCCCAAUCAAUUCUGAACACUAAAAUUAAUUGAAACCCUUUCAACUUUCUUCAAUUAAAACUUUCGUGAAAUGUUACCAUGGUGAUUAAAGGAGUAUUUCAAGGGGCAAUACCCUAUUGAAGAUGCUAAACCCACACUCUCUCACCACCACUGGUUCCAGAAUUGCCUCAUACCGUCUUCAUUCACGUAUCAAACUCAGGGUGUUGGUUGAAAGAUAGUUUAAUCAUGAUUUGUUUGUACCAGAAGGUAAUGUUUUGAUCUUUUGAUUGGUGUUACUGAUAGUUUGUCACCUGUGAUACAAGUAAUGUUUUAAUCUAAGGUGUGAUUGGUUCUAAAUGUGCUAUGUAUGCUUGAUCUAUUAUGAUUUGGGCAAUUUUAUUGAAUAAGUAGUUUUGUGAAUUUAUCAGCUUUGAAUAUUUCUUUGUUACUAAUGACUAACUAAUAAUCUUAGAUUCUUGGUAUGGUUAGGCUUAUUGUAUCAUGUUAAUGCUUGUUGGUGUCUCAAGUUAGCG
RNAcentral lists this long non-coding RNA (606 nucleotides) under Helianthus annuus (common sunflower). RNAcentral describes it as "hypothetical non coding rna". The record is from RNAcentral. Lineage: Eukaryota; Viridiplantae; Streptophyta; Magnoliopsida; Asterales; Asteraceae.